GGCCGGUUAGCUCAGUUGGUUAGAGCGUGGUGCUAAUAUCCGAGCAAGUCCCUGACUUCUCCCGGUACGCCAAGGUCGCGGGUUCGACCCCCGUACGGGCCA
This is a transfer RNA of Sistotremastrum suecicum HHB10207 ss-3, 102 nucleotides long. It matches the Rfam family "tRNA". From Rfam's summary of the family: Transfer RNA (tRNA) molecules are approximately 80 nucleotides in length. Their secondary structure includes four short double-helical elements and three loops (D, anti-codon, and T loops). The record is from Rfam. Lineage: Eukaryota; Fungi; Basidiomycota; Agaricomycetes; Sistotremastrales; Sistotremastraceae.